This 2553-nucleotide long non-coding RNA is filed under the name Olea europaea subsp. europaea. The record is from RNAcentral. Lineage: Eukaryota; Viridiplantae; Streptophyta; Magnoliopsida; Lamiales; Oleaceae.
UUUGGCCUCCCACCAAAACACGUUCCCUAAUUUUAGAGAGCUCUUCAGCUUCCUCAACCAAAACCCUUCUCUCUCCAAAUCACCUCUCACAAAUUGCAAAAUAAUUCUGUCUGCCUCUCCAAGAAUUUGACCGUCUCUUCUCUCAAUAUCACUGGCAAAUUCAUCCAUUUGUCCCUUCUUCCACGUAGAUGCAUAUUCCUGACGAGAUUUUCACCUACAUCUUCCCCUCGUUUUCACGCCUUUCUUCUUUUCCUCUCUUUGUUUCCACGAUUAAAAUUUUAAGGCAAGUUAGCAGCAUCAUUGUAAUUAUAGCCUUUUUUUUUAUUGUGUUUGAUUUUAUUUUUUAUUUUUGGAUAAUAUUCUGAGUGAAGAGUUUUUGAGGUUAUCUAUGUUCUGAUUUCCAAAUAUUUUUUUGAUUCUUAAAGAUUUGUUGGUGUUUCUAAUUUUUAGCUUCUUAGAACAAUAUAGAAUUGUGGAUUGGAUUUCAUCUUUUUGAGUACGUUGCAAACCCACCCAAUUUGAUCACAUUAUUCUGAACCUAUUGGAUGAUUAAAAUCUAAGGUUGGAUUUAUUCUCGUGAUUAUGCGUGCUUGUGUAAAAGAAAUAUCGAAUCUCUCUUGCCUAUACUAAGAAGUGUGAACAAAAAAAGAUAAGGAUAUCAAAGUAUGCCAGCCUGCUAGGGAAAUAGAAAUAGAUGCUUACGUUCACAAAACUUGGCGAUUUGAUUUGUGUAAAUUAUGCUUAUUAUUUUGAAGGCAUCGGUUAACACAAUGAAAUAUUUGGUUUUUGCACAUUUGUAAUGCUUUAGUGUUCUGCAGCUAAGAUUAUUUGUCAAUACAAUGGCUGGUCAUGUGUUUAGGGUUCAUUUGGCGUGGUUUUUGAAAAGUAAAAAAGUUGCCUUUAAGAUUAAGAAAAUGCUUUUGGACUUGUUUAAUAUCAUUCUGGGAGUGGCUUAAGGUGCAAUCCUACCUGAAACAGCAGCUGUCCCAACCAGGCCAUUGAUAUAAUUUAUUUGCCUUAACUUUACCCAAAUUUUAUCCAUGUCUUUUGCCCUUUUCUCAAGGGAGUUUUCAUAUUUCUUGAAAUCCGACCACAUAUCAACAGAGGUAUAUGCCAAUUGAUUGUGAAAUAUGUACCUAUUCUUGUUGAGAAUUCUUUUUUCCCUGAUUUUCGAUCUCAUUUUUACCACUAUGUUUUUUCUCCUUUGUUUUCCGGAUUUCCUUCAAUAUUUGCCGUAGAUUUACAGAUAUUCAAAUUGUUAUUAUUGCUUUUGUAAAUUUACUUUUAUUGUUUGGUCUAUACGGAGAAAGGGUGGUCAAAAACUCAUUGCAAACAUUCCAUCGAUUGAAUCCUAAACAACAAUUGUCUAGGGCUUUGUACAGGUUGAUUCUCUUCGGGUAUAUAUAUAUUAUUCUCCUAUGAGUUGUUUUUCCUUUUCAUGAUUGGUUUUGCUUCAACUGAUUAUCUGAUUUUUUGGGCAUUUUAUUUGAAAAUAUGAAGCAUUGGUCUACAUAUUGUCUUGAAAUUAGGUUAUUUUCUUAGAUAUUGAAUUUCGAAACUUUUGUUAAUAAUUUACUACGUAAUUUCACUCUCAAAAAAAGUAACACUGGAAGGGAAUAUUUUGAAAGAAACAUUCAUAUUAUUUAUCUAUUUUCAAAUUUGAAGUGGACAAAUUAGCUAUUUGUUGCUAUCACAAUUUUUACUUUGUCAUGUUAUUUAUAGAUACAGUAGUUUUUAUUAGUAUAUUUGUUCAUGUAAAGACGUACAUACUGAAAUCUACUACUAUCUAAUUGACUAGUUAUGUUUUACUACUUAAACUAUGCUUGGCAAAGCUUAUUCUUUUAUUUUAGUUUUGCAAUACUUCAAUAUCAUUUCUAAUUAUUUACUUUUUAGUUAUUAGCAGUAUGUCAUCGGAUCGAAGUUGGAUGCGGCGACGAGUGGAUAAGGGGUUUCUUACAAAUGAAUUUAUUAUGAGAGUCGAAGAGUUUAUUGAAUUUGAGUAUUCACAAUUAGGGGUAUUUGAUAAUAUUAGAUGCCCUUGUUGUAAAUGUGGCAAUAAAGAAUUCCAUAUGCGAGAUGAUGUAAAACUUCACUCAUACAACAAAGGGUUUACCCAUGAUUAUACUCAAUGGUAUGCACAUGGUCAACAAUACAUUAGUCCAUUUAAUUUAGGUGAAUCCUAAAAUGCACAAGAACAAAGCGAAUGUAGAAAUCAAGCAAUGGUGAUGGAUGCUAUGGGCCCUAAUAUCUGCAAUACCAUUUUCAAUCAGCAACAUUCUUUUCCAGAAGAACAUGAGCCAAAUCCAAGAGCUGCAAAUUUCUUUAGACUACUUCGAGAAGCCAAUAAACCUAUAUGGCCCAGUUGUACAAAAUACACUAAACUUUCAGCGAUGUCACGGCUUUUGAAUUGUAAGUCUGAAUUUAAUAUCUCUGUAACAUGUUAUGAUCAUAUAUUGUCCAUAAUUACAGACAUGUUGCCAGAAGGUGCACAGUUAGAGGAUACAUUUUACAAAACAAAGAAAAUGUUAAGCAGUCUUGGUUAUAUAAAGAUAC